ACUAUUCAUCAUACCUUGAUCAAUAGUUUUUGCCAACAUUGCAUGCCAAUUCAUCACACCUCCGCCACAUGUUGCCAUUUUAUCAACAACUGCCACCUGCUGCUCCCUUCACCUCCACUUCAUCAGUUCCUGGUUAAUACCCAGUUCAUCGGCGUCCUUAACAUCUCCUGGCUAAUACCCACUGGAACUCCUUCUGCCAUCUCUCAGCUUCUCUCUACAUCAAUUUUGGCUGCUCAAAGAAGUGCUCCAUGUUUCUUGGGCGUCUCAUCUCAUCUCUCUUCAUUAACUUCCUCUGAAAAUCAUAUUGUUUUUUGUUUGCUCCUGAUGAAGUGAAACUGAAGGUUUUUUGUAGAAAUUCUUUCCCUACAUAUAAUGAUACUUUGAAAGUUGAUAGAGAUAUUUUCAAGACUUGGAAGAAAACUGAACUUGAUAUUGCUGUUUUUGAUUUUAAGAGUGGUGAUUGUGGACCUGUAGCUUGUUAUCCUAAAUAUUCUGAUGCAUUUUGGCCUUCACUUGAUUGUAUUUCAUUUAAUUGGUAAGAUUUUCCUCAGUUUCUGAAAUGGUGCGUAAUCUUCAAUACUCACUCUUGAUUGUCGGCAGAUUUCAUUAGUAAAAAUGAUGCGUAAUCUAUUUCUUACAUUUCCUACCAAUUUUAAAUGUGAUUAAUGAUUCCAUCUCUUUUACCCCAAUUCUCACAAAAAAUUAGGCCUUUUUAAUUUAUUGCUUUUAAUUGAUGCAUAAAUUUUACUUCAGAUCUGAUGGAUCUUUCAUUGUUUUCAUGUCUGUUUCAAUUAUCAGCCUCUUCGUAUCAAUAUCAAAGGUAAUUCGCUGAUUACUACCUUCUUGGUCAACGAGUUUGCUGUAUUAUGUUGUUGCCUCGAUUAUGAAUUCCAUGAAUCAGAAUUGGCUCUGUACUUGUGAUUUUGAUAAAAUUUUGAUAUGCUUCUUACAUAAUUUGUAAAUACCUUAGUUUGAUGACUUUUGUGAUGAACAUCCGCAUCUGGAAGUAAGCCAACUAGAAUCAACUUGAUAUCGUCUGGUUGGUGUGGUCGAUGUUAAUUUUUGGGUAUGAAAUGUUCAGUUGCAGAAAAACCUGACAACUCUUUCUCCAAGCUGCAAUAUUACUUGCACCGGGAAGGACGGUUUUCCUGACCUUGAUUGCGAAAAUGAGAGCCUUUCUACAAAGUUACGAAGAACUUCGUUGUUUGCGUGCGCACAAGAGCACAAUAAUACAGUCUCCGAGAGCUCAAAAAUGCUUGUAUAAUGAUAAAAAGUGUUUACGACUUUGAGAACCCGCCUGCAAAGUUAAGAACUUUGUUUUUUGCGCACAAGAACUCUAUAGUACAGUCUCCGACAUUAGUGAAUAAGAAGCCAAUUUUAGAGGGCCUUGUAGAUGCUUACUCAAUGAAAGAUAUUCUAUCUGACUUUGAGAGCCCUCCUGCAAAGUUAAGAACAACAUUUUUUUGUGGCACAAGAGCUCGAUUAUACAGUCUCCGACAAUAGUGAAUAAGAAGCCCAUUUCAGAGGGCCUUGUAGAUGCUUGCACAAUGAAAGACAAUCUUUCCGACUUUGAGAGCGAGGAUGAAAGCUCUACUUAAAAGUCAAGAAGUUCGUUGUUUGUGCACAAGAGCUCGCUUAUAGAGUCUCCGAAGAUAGUGAAUAAGAGACCCUUUUCAGAGGGCCUUGUAGAUGCUUUCACAGUGAAGGAAAGUUUUUCCGACUUUGAGAGCCAAAUUGAGAGUCUGCCUGCAAAGUUAAGAAGGACUUCAUUGUUCGCGCACAAGAGCAUGAAUCUUUAGUCUCCUAGAACAGAGAAUAUGAGAUCGAUUUCAGAGGGCCUUUAAGCUUCAUUCAGAAAGCUUGCUAAUCUUGCUAUAAGUAGAGGCAAUAUGGAUGAUAUUACUGUGAUGUUAGUUGAUCUAAAGCAUUUCAAGUCAGGGAAUUAAAACCUAAAGAUGUUUUAUUUUGUGCUGCUAUUUAAGAUUGAAUUGUCUACUACCAAGGCAAAUUGUAGGGUAAACCUAAAGAUGUUUUAUUUUUGUUUUUUUUUUUUAUUGAUAUGCGAUUCUAAUGAAUUUUUUUUUGGGAAUUUAGUUCUUCGUAUAAAACAUUGUUAUUUUAGUUUUUUCUUGCUUGUCGCAAAUUACUUCUUGAUAGAAUUGAUGAUUUUUUUCUUUCUUGUCUUUCCCUAAGCAUUACAAUAUGUACAAUUAAAUGUGCUUGCUUUAUCAGCAUUUUUUCAUCUCUUUAUUUUUUAACACAUGCUUCAGAUCUCAAGACAAAGAAGGGUUGAUGAUAGAACUAAGAAAUGGGUUGAAGAAGCACAAUUUCAGGCUGAGUUUUGCGGUUUUGAGGAUGACGAUGGAUACGAGGAUGGAGUAGAAGAUUCAGUUUAGGCGAGAAGAUAGCAAUAAGAGGAGCAAAUUUAAGAUAUCAGAAUGAAGUUAUAUGAACCAACCAAACAAAAUUAUCAUAAUAGAAUUCCAUGGAGGCAUGGAACUUGGAAGGAGAGAGGAGCGGCAGACAGGCUUGCAGAUUCUCAAAAUACACAGCAGUCAUGGAAAGCUUUUGGUGUAGAACCAGUUCAAACGUCAAACACAGAAAGCUAACUGUUAUCGAAGGAUCCUUAGAUAAGAGCUGCAGUUUUGCUAACCCCAAUUCCCAAAAACACAAAUUUUAUAUUUUGGCAACAAUUACGACAAAAAUGGGACAGCAAAAAUAAGCCCCAAUCAAAUCAAAAAUAAGUAAGGCUAUGCACAGCUUCUUCUGUUUAUCAAUGAACCUCUUUGGCAGAGAGCUGGUGCUGGGGGACCGUAUUUAUAGGCAGACAGCUCCUCAUCAGCCGCUUGUUGAUUUGGAAGUAAGCAAAGCUUUGCAUGUCUGCAAAGCAGGAAGUUAAGAGCGAAUGGACCACCUAUAACAACAUAAAGUAAACUCCAUGAAGAGGAAUCCAGUAAAAUAGACUCAAUACAAGACAUUCAAAAGAGUAACUAACCUUCCCCAUUAUCUUCUGCACUUAAGACAAAGAAGACAUACUUGAGCAGCAGAAUCAAUGUCAGAGUCCAGAAUAUUAAGGAAAAUGCACAAAAAGUGGUGAUGUACUCAAGUCCCCAUAAAUGACACCAACACUUUGGUAUGCCAACAGAAGGGUCAUCAUUAAUUCGCCUACGUGUGUAUAUAUAUAUAUAUAUAUAUAUAUAUAUAUAUAUAUAUAUAUAUAUAUAUAUAUAUAUAUAUAUAUAUAUAAUUAGAGACUAGGGAGGGGUCAAUCUCAACUAGAUGAGCUAAACAAGCAAAUAAUCAGGUGCUAUAUUUUCUAAAUAUUGAUAUGUUGUGUUUGACCACCAUCUCUUUUGUUUUCUAUACUACAUUUGGGUACAUUUGUUGUCGUUUGUUUGAUUAGUUCGUUAAUCAGUGUUACUGAUUAGAUGGAAAGAAAAUUAAGAAAUGAAAAUAUACCCAAAGGUUGUUUGGCAGUGACU
Amaranthus tricolor (Joseph's coat) is the source of this 3482-nucleotide long non-coding RNA. RefSeq lists it as uncharacterized. The transcript is spliced from 4 exons. Lineage: Eukaryota; Viridiplantae; Streptophyta; Magnoliopsida; Caryophyllales; Amaranthaceae. The record is from RefSeq and is a predicted model, not a curated record.